GAUGAACGCUGGCGGCGUGCUUAACACAUGCAAGUCGAACGGAAAGGCCCUGCUUUUGUGGGGUGCUCGAGUGGCGAACGGGUGAGUAACACGUGAGUAACCUGCCCUUGACUUUGGGAUAACUUCAGGAAACUGGGGCUAAUACCGGAUAGGAGCUCCGGCUGCAUGGUGGGGGAUGGAAAGUUUCGGCGGAUGGGGAUGGACUCGCGGCUUACCAGCUUGUUGGUGGGGUAGUUGCUUACCAAGGCUUUGACGGGUAGCCGGCCUGAGAGGGUGACCGGCAACAUUGGGACUGAGAUACGGCCCAGACUCCUACGGGAGGCAGCAGUGGGGAAUAUUGCACAAUGGGCGGAAGCCUGAUGCAGCAACGCCGCGUUCGGGAUUACGGCCUUCGGGUUGUAAACCGCUUUCGCCUGUGACGAAGCGUGAGUGACGGUAAUGGGUAAAGAAGCACCGGCUAACUACGUG
Molecule: ribosomal RNA, 468 nt
Filed under: uncultured bacterium
Lineage: Bacteria
Description: partial 16S ribosomal RNA
Rfam family: Bacterial small subunit ribosomal RNA
Source: RNAcentral